RNAcentral lists this ribosomal RNA (575 nucleotides) under uncultured bacterium. RNAcentral's name for it is "bacterial SSU rRNA". It matches the Rfam family "Bacterial small subunit ribosomal RNA", at positions 340 to 916 of the family's 1533-position model. The record is from RNAcentral.
UACGGGAGGCAGCAGUGAGGAAUAUUGGUCAAUGGGCGAGAGCCUGAACCAGCCAAGUCGCGUGAAGGAAGAAGGAUCUAUGGUUCGUAAACUUCUUUUGCAGGGGAAUAAAGUGCAGGACGUGUCCUGUUUUGUAUGUACCCUAAGAAUAAGGAUCGGCUAACUCCGUGCCAGCAGCCGCGGUAAUACGGAGGAUCCGAGCGUUAUCCGGAUUUAUUGGGUUUAAAGGGUGCGUAGGUGGUUUAAUAAGUCAGCGGUGAAAGAUUGCAGCUUAACUGUAAAAAUGCCGUUGAAACUGUUGAACUUGAGUGUAAAUGAGGUAGGCGGAAUGCGUGGUGUAGCGGUGAAAUGCUUAGAUAUCACGCAGAACACCGAUUGCGAAGGCAGCUUACCAGGCUACAACUGACACUGAAGCACGAAAGCGUGGGGAUCAAACAGGAUUAGAUACCCUGGUAGUCCACGCCGUAAACGAUGAUUACUAGCUGUUGCGAUACACAGUAAGCGGCACAGCGAAAGCGUUAAGUAAUCCACCUGGGGAGUACGCCGGCAACGGUGAAACUCAAAGGAAUUGACGG